UAUCAGAGUAUAGGUUCUGAAUUUUAUAAUUUUCUUCAUGAAGAGUGUCUUUCCAAAUUUUGUAUAAACCCCUCAUUUCCAAGUGGUAUCAUGUUAUAAAAAUUCAUAAUUUUUGAAUGUGAUUAAUGCAUAAAACAUGUGGAUGAUUUUGUUGGCACUUCAUAUAUGAAUCAUUGUGACUAGUUAAGGUACAAAUUUUUUGAAGGGUAUGUAAAUAUUUAUUUACAUAUUUGAUUACUGUUUGAAAUUGUACAUAUAGUUUGUGGUAAUCAUUAAACUGAUAUGUUGUAAUCAUUAACCAACUUUUCCUGCAUUAUUGGACCCUUGUGCGGUAAUUUCUGUUUAUCAUUUGAUUAUCCACAACACAUGGUAUUACUGUUUUAUUAUUCAGAGUGUAUUGUGAAAAAAUGAAUAAAUUGUCCGUGAUCAAGUAUACAUAUGUUUUGUAGUAGAUACAUAUUUUAUAUUUGUGUCACAUAUACUGUUGAAGUGAUAUAUAAAUAUAUGGAUUGGAAUAUAUGUAUUGAUACGG
Molecule: long non-coding RNA, 532 nt
Filed under: Lupinus angustifolius (narrow-leaved blue lupine)
Lineage: Eukaryota; Viridiplantae; Streptophyta; Magnoliopsida; Fabales; Fabaceae
Description: long non-coding RNA (LANG_LNC003345)
Source: RNAcentral